RNAcentral lists this ribosomal RNA (433 nucleotides) under uncultured bacterium. RNAcentral's name for it is "partial 16S ribosomal RNA". It matches the Rfam family "Bacterial small subunit ribosomal RNA", at positions 29 to 507 of the family's 1533-position model. The record is from RNAcentral.
AACGAACGCUGGCGGCAUGCCUAACACAUGCAAGUCGAACGAGACCUUCGGGUCCAGUGGCGCACGGGUGCGUAACGCGAGGGAAUCUGCCCUUGGGUUCGGAAUAACAGUUGGAAGCGACUGCUAAUACCGGAUGAUGACGUAAGUCCAACGAUUUAUCGCCUAAGGAUUAGCCCGCGUAGGAUUAGCUAGUUGGUGAGGUAAAGGCUCUCCAAGGCGACGAUCCUUAGCUGGUCUGAGAGGAUGAUCAGCCACACUAGGACUGGGACACGGCCCAGACUCCGACGGAAGGCAGCAGUGGGGAAUAUGGGACUACGGGCGAAAGGCUGAUGCAGCAGUGCCGGGAGAGUGAUGAAGGCCUUAGGAUUGUAAAGCUCUGUUAUCCGGGAUGAUAAUGACAGUACCGGCAGAAUAAGCUCCGGCUAACUCCGUG